This 508-nucleotide ribosomal RNA is filed under the name uncultured bacterium. RNAcentral describes it as "bacterial SSU rRNA". It matches the Rfam family "Bacterial small subunit ribosomal RNA", at positions 68 to 620 of the family's 1533-position model. The record is from RNAcentral.
GAGGUUGGGUGUAGAUGAUAAGCCAGUGGCGAACGGGUGAGUAAUGAAUAGAACGUACUCUUUGCGGAGCAUAGCCCACCGAAAGGUGGGGUAAUACUCCAUAAUACCGUAAGGUUAAAGACGCAAGUCACGAAGAGAGCGGCGUAUAUGCUACCAGCUAGUUGGUGGGGUAACGGCCUACCAAGGCGAUGACGGCUAACGGCUCUUAGCGGAGAGUCCGUUACAAUGGGACUGAGACACAGCCCAUACACCUACGGGUGGCAGCAGUUAGGAAUUUUUCGCAAUGGACGCAAGUCUGACGAAGCGACACCGCGUGAGGGAUGACGGCCUUCGGGUUGUAAACCUCUUUUGUUUCUCCAUGAAGGAGUUACGAAUAAGCCACUACUAACUACGUGCCAGCAGUCGCGGUAAUACGUAGGUUGCAAGCGUAACCCGGUUAUAUUGGGCGUAAAGAGUCUGUAGGCGGACUCCCAAGUCCUAUUUCAAAGACCCCGGCUCAACCGGGGGA